Molecule: ribosomal RNA, 497 nt
Filed under: uncultured bacterium
Lineage: Bacteria
Description: partial 16S ribosomal RNA
Rfam family: Bacterial small subunit ribosomal RNA
Source: RNAcentral
GAUGAACGCUGGCGGCGUGCCUAAUACAUGCAAGUCGAGCGAACAGAUAAGGAGCUUGCUCCUUUGAAGUUAGCGGCGGACGGGUGAGUAACACGUGGGUAACCUACCUAUAAGACUGGGAUAACUUCGGGAAACCGGAGCUAAUACCGGAUAACAUUUAGAACCGCAUGGUUCUAAAGUGAAAGAUGGUUUUGCUAUCACUUAUAGAUGGACCCGCGCCGUAUUAGCUAGUUGGUAAGGUAACGGCUUACCAAGGCGACGAUACGUAGCCGACCUGAGAGGGUGAUCGACCACACUGGAACUGAGACACGGUCCAGACUCCUACGGGAGGCAGCAGUAGGGAAUCUUCCGCAAUGGGCGAAAGCCUGACGGAGCAACGCCGCGUGAGUGAUGAAGGGUUUCGGCUCGUAAAACUCUGUUAUUAGGGAAGAACAAAUGUGUAAGUAACUGUGCACAUCUUGACGGUACCUAAUCAGAAAGCCACGGCUAACUACGUG